CACCUCUCAAGCGUAGCUUGGUAUUGGGUUCUCGUCCCCUGGGCGUGCCCGAAAAGCAUUGGCGGUCCGGUGUGGCUUUAAGCGUAGUAAAUUAUCUCCCGCUUUGAAAGCUCGCGAUGUGGCUGCCAGACAACCCCACAUUAUAUCAAC
This 150-nucleotide unclassified non-coding RNA is filed under the name uncultured Ascomycota. Its description in RNAcentral is "sequence contains ITS2". Lineage: Eukaryota; Fungi; Ascomycota. The record is from RNAcentral.